RNAcentral lists this ribosomal RNA (704 nucleotides) under gamma proteobacterium H16. Its description in RNAcentral is "bacterial SSU rRNA". It matches the Rfam family "Bacterial small subunit ribosomal RNA", at positions 63 to 748 of the family's 1533-position model. The record is from RNAcentral. Lineage: Bacteria; Pseudomonadati; Pseudomonadota; Gammaproteobacteria.
CGGAAACGACAAUAUUAAUUCUUCGGAGUGCUUUAUUGGGCGUCGAGCGGCGGACGGGUGAGUAAUGCCUAGGAAAUUGCCUUGAUGUGGGGGAUAACCAUUGGAAACGAUGGCUAAUACCGCAUAAUGCCUACGGGCCAAAGAGGGGGAUCUUCGGACCUCUCGCGUCAAGAUAUGCCUAGGUGGGAUUAAGCUAGUUGGUGAGGUAAUGGCUCACCAAGGCGACGAUCCCUAGCUGGUCUGAGAGGAUGAUCAGCCACACUGGAACUGAGACACGGUCCAGACUCCUACGGGAGGCAGCAGUGGGGAAUAUUGCACAAUGGGCGAAAGCCUGAUGCAGCCAUGCCGCGUGUAUGAAGAAGGCCUUCGGGUUGUAAAGUACUUUCAGUUGUGAGGAAGGGGGUAACGUUAAUAGCGUUAUCUCUUGACGUUAGCAACAGAAGAAGCACCGGCUAACUCCGUGCCAGCAGCCGCGGUAAUACGGAGGGUGCGAGCGUUAAUCGGAAUUACUGGGCGUAAAGCGCAUGCAGGUGGUUCAUUAAGUCAGAUGUGAAAGCCCGGGGCUCAACCUCGGAACUGCAUUUGAAACUGGUGAACUAGAGUGCUGUAGAGGGGGGUAGAAUUUCAGGUGUAGCGGUGAAAUGCGUAGAGAUCUGAAGGAAUACCAGUGGCGAAGGCGGCCCCCUGGACAGACACUGACACUC